AUACGGAGGGGGCUAGCGUUGUUCGGAAUUACUGGGCGUAAAGCGCGCGUAGGCGGGCUGUUAAGUCGGGGGUGAAAUCCCGGGGCUCAACCCCGGAACUGCCCUCGAUACUGGCAGUCUUGAGAUCUGGAGAGGCGAGUGGAAUUCCGAGUGUAGAGGUGAAAUUCGUAGAUAUUCGGAGGAACACCAGUGGCGAAGGCGGCUCGCUGGCCAGAUACUGACGCUGAGGCGCGAAAGCGUGGGGAGCAAACAGGAUUAGAAACCCCUGUAGUCC
Molecule: ribosomal RNA, 274 nt
Filed under: uncultured bacterium
Lineage: Bacteria
Description: partial 16S ribosomal RNA
Rfam family: Bacterial small subunit ribosomal RNA
Source: RNAcentral